This is a long non-coding RNA of Empidonax traillii (willow flycatcher), 1512 nucleotides long. RefSeq lists it as uncharacterized. The transcript has 3 exons. NCBI's taxonomy places the organism in Eukaryota, Metazoa, Chordata, Aves, Passeriformes, Tyrannidae. The record is from RefSeq and is a predicted model, not a curated record.
GUUCUCUGACAGGUAUUUAAUGUAAAGUACACAGACACACUUUGAAAAGGAGACUGAAAUCCAAGGCUAUUCCCCUCCCUUCCCCAUGGCAAUGUUAUUAUUGCUAGGUCAUGGCCUCUCCUUGAUUGCUCCCGUGAAUCCUGAAUCCCCACCCUCUCCCCUAGGCAGCAGUACGGGUUCAACAGGCUGGUUGAAAAUGGAGUGCGUGUUAGGCUAGCCUACCUCCCUGGUAAGAUAUUCUUCUGGAAGGUCAGAGGGAGGCAUCUGAACCCUAUCAAGCAGAACGAGGAGAAGCUGACCUUGUUUCUCCUGGCGUGGGGGGCACUGCAAGGCACACAGGGGGAAGGAAGUGUCCCCCACGGGAAUUGAGAAAGGGUUCAGAGGGGCUGGUGAAGUGUUAAGCAAAAGCAGUCAGCGGCUUAGCACAUGGUGGGGAAGUCGAUUAUAAGCACUUGCAGCUGGUUCUCUCUCUCUCACACCCUGGAGGAACUGGGUGUCUGCUGACUCAGGAGCUGCAUCAAGUCAGAGGAAUGGGAAGGGGGUCAUAUUUCUUGAGUGCCUGUGGCACGCUGCAGAGCGAUGGGAUAGCGACGGGCACCUCCUACUUGCUGUCCCGUCUUGGAAGAGUGAUCACAGCAGCGUGCUGUGAGAAGCUGGAGCCCGUUGAUUACUGGAUGUUUCAAUCUGCUGAAAAGAAGGGGCUGUCCCUGAACCAAUGAAACAAUGAGAGGGCAGGGAGAGUGACAAGCUGUGGGGCAAUCUUUGCUCUCAGGGCCUGGGCACUUUCCUUUCGCUGGUUCAGCAGAGACCAACAAGAAGAGGCUGAGUCUGAGGAGUUAACCAUGCAUGGCUCGAGCCACCUGGCAAUGAGCUCUGCAGGCAUAGGAGGCAACCUUUCUGCCUUUAUCGUGAACCUGAGAGCAAUAUAACCGUCUGGCUAGUUAUAAUUUAACAGAAACCCCGUUUUUAAUCUUGCUGUGGUGGUGUGCUUUCUUUUAAAUGUCGUCUGUAAAGUCUCCCAGUGAGCGGAGAAGUUUUGCUUUGUAUUUCUUACAGAUACUGACAAAAACUAGUCCACUAGGUUACCAUAAACCUAGCCAUAUUCUUUCUUAGAGGCAUAAGCAAGCUGAAAAGGGUUUGCAGUAACUUUUAUACUUCAAUCAAAGUAUUUUUCAGUAUAUAUUUUUCAUUUUUAACCAGUAGACUAAUUGACUGGUUAUUUUAUUAAUGUUGAAAUCUUACAUUUUUAGAAGAGAUAUUAAGCAAGUAAAUUAACCUUCAGUUUUCCCGUGGCACUGAAGCUUGUUCAUCACCAUUGUGCUUUCAGUCAUUCUUUAAACCCUUGGUAAUCGAUAGUGGUAAUUUCAAAUAAGUUCAGAUGUUUUGUUCAAAAUAAACUGAGUAUGCAUGCAUCUUCUGAAUCAGCACCUUAACGUGACCUCUCCUGUCUGCUCAAAUUAUUAGCAUCAAAUAAAGUUCUUCAGACAAAACGAAGCUAGUUGAACGAAUGCA